GUGCCUACGGGGGGCAGCAGUGGGGAAUAUUGCGCAAUGGGGGAAACCCUGACGCAGCAACGCCGCGUGCAGGAAGAAGGUCUUCGGAUUGUAAACUGUUGUCGCAGGGGAAGAAGACAGUGACGGUACCCUGUGAGAAAGUCACGGCUAACUACGUGCCAGCAGCCGCGGUAAUACGUAGGGGGCAAGCGUUAUCCGGAUUUACUGGGUGUAAAGGGAGCGUAGACGGCGUAUCAAGUCUGAUGUGAAAGGCAGGGGCUCAACCCCUGGACUGCAUUGGAAACUGGUAUGCUUGAGUGCCGGAG
This 305-nucleotide ribosomal RNA is filed under the name uncultured bacterium. Its description in RNAcentral is "bacterial SSU rRNA". It matches the Rfam family "Bacterial small subunit ribosomal RNA", at positions 335 to 654 of the family's 1533-position model. The record is from RNAcentral.